UUGAUGAUCGGGUCAGAUCCAUCGAGGAUCCAUCGUUUGAGUACCGGAGGUCGAGAGAUUGAGCAACGAGAUUGUUCUUUGGAUUUGAAUAUUUCACUCCAAGCACCCAUGAAAUGCCAGAAAGAGGUUCCAUCGGCGACCAUAUGAUUGAUAGAUCCACCGAUAAAGAUUCCAUCGACAAGCUCUGUAACUUGAAUGGAUAACAAUGGCAGUGUGUGACCAUCGUGGCUAAUGGCGUUAUUGAGAUCAAAAAAUGAACGAACAACCACGGGUACAUCAGCAGGCUGAAGGAUGUCCGAUAUGGUGGCGUCCACCGUCGCGUAAAUAAACUUGACGCCGGGGCUGUUUUCAGGGUCUAAGUAGAUAACAUAGGAAGCUGGAUUUUCUUCUUUUUUAGUGACCAAACGGCCGGCGAGGGGGUAGAAAUGAUCGAGGGUGGCGGAGAGGGAUCGCCGGAGGUCGUCAAGGUAAGCGGUAAUGGAGAAAUCUUGACUUUCCGACGGUGGUGGCUUUGCAAAGAGAAGACCCUUUUGGCUGUAGCUGAUGUUGAGGCAUGGCAGCUCGAAGGGUGUGAAAUGAAAAGGCUGCUUUGCCUCCGGUGAGAGGUCAUGCAGUGAUUUGAUGAAGCAUUCUGAGAUGCGUUUCACAGAUUUAGAACUCAUUGAUACCAGAACACCAAUUGUUCUCUUCUUUUAAUGGAGCAACGAAGACAAAUUAACUUCUUGCACAUAUAAAGAUGCUAGCCAUCAAACAUGUUAAGUAUAACAAAAAGGGAGAAUCAUAUGUAAAUCCAAAGCAGAUAGAAUUUAUUAAAUCUCGAGUAUCUAGAAGGGAGACCGAUCAAUUACUUUUGUAGUGUUUUAUCUCAAUCAAGUAUUAUAAUAAGAUAAUACAUAAAAUAAUAGAAGAACUUGAUAUUGGCCACCUCAUUUUGACCAAUAACUCCUUUAGACUAAAAGAUAACAUUUGUAAUCUUAAAAAAAAUGGGUUUGUCUUUAUAGAUUUAGAUUUAGCGAUGGUUAAGUUGUUACUUGCUCUUAUUUUUUAUUUUAUUUUGGGUGGGUGAAUGUUUGACAACUUAUAACAUUUUACAAAAUCGUAUUGUUUUGAAAAAAAAAAAAACAUUAUUAUUUUGCAGUAUAUAUUUUUAAAGUUUAGUUUAAAUGAAACAUUCCAAAUCUAAAAGUUAUCUUACCUAGAGUUUAACAAAACGCUACCAAUUACAAACUAAUUUUACUGAACACGUCCUUUGAAGCAUUAUGUUUAAGUUGUGUUUGUAAAACUAAUUAUAUCGGGUAGCUAUUAGCUAUUAGAUGCGAACUAAAUCUUUUAAUUGUUUAUUGUUUAUUUUUUAAAGGUGUAAACUUGAAUAAACCAAAAGCUAAAAUCUCCAAAAACCUAAACUCUAAAAAAUUACUUGAAAUUCCUUUUGAAUUAAAUUUUUUUUUGUUUAAAAUAAAAAUAAAAACUCUUGCCGCCAAACAAAGCUUUUUAUUUUAUCUGAUUUUUUCUUAAACACUAAAAACUUUCGAAAAUAUAAAAAGUUAUGUCCCAAACAUGCAUUUCGUGUCUAAUGGCUACUUACCGUGUUUCUAAAAUACAAAACUAUAUUGAAGUUUUAAGUAACGAACAUAUAUAUUGAAAUAAUAACAAUUAACUAUUCAUGGAUGGACAAAUUAAUUUGAGAAAAUUUCGUAUAUACAUUUUUAAGCAUCAAAAUAUUACAUUUAUUUAGACUAAUAUUUAAAUAUUAUAUUUAUCAUCUUUAAAAAUAUUAGAGACAAUUGUAAGCUCCUUCUCCAUGCUUGAUAUCUAGAUGAUGAGACUGUCAUUGGGGGAUUCAGAGGAGGUGGCUAGAGUGUUGAACAUAAUUCGGUUGCGUGGUCCAGGUUUGGGUCUUGAGUUGAACAUCAAGAAAACGGAGAUUUUUUGGCCCUCAUGUGAUGGUAGGAAGUUUCAUGUUGAUUUAUUCNGAGAGUGGUCAAUGCUGUUGAUUUGAUGGGCCUUCUUCCACAACUAUGUGACCCACAAAGUGAGCUCCUUUUGCUUCGAUCAUGUAUGGGCAUUGCAAAACUUUUCUUUGGUUUAAGGACAUGCCAGCCGGUACACAUAGAAGAGGCAGCGUUAUUCUUUGACAAAGGCUUACGCAGGUCUAUCGAGGAUAUGGUGGUAUGUGGAGGCCCCUUCUUUGGAGACAUUCAGUGGCGCUUGGCUUCCUUACCUAUUCGUUUUGGUGGUUUGGGUUUGUACUCGGCCUACGAGGUUUCCUCCUAUGCAUUUGUAGCCUUGAGGGCCCAAUCUUGGGCAUUACAAGACCACAUCUUACGUGAUAGUGGCAUAUGUGGUAUGGACUCGGAUUACCUAUGUGCUAUGACUCGUCUUCGCGAUACGAUUUCGGGAUUUGACUGUAACGGUUUCACUAAUAAGGACACCGCCCCCUAAAUCCCAAAAAGCUUUGGCAUGUGUCCUUUUUAGCAAAAUCAUUCAAGAUAUGGAAGUCGACUUCGACAUGACUGUCAGACAGAAAGCAGUCUUUGAGUGUCUGCGGGCGCCUCAUGCUCAUGAUUUUAUGCUAACUAUCCCUAUUGAUGGUCUUGGCCAGCAUAUGUCUCAUGUGGAGUACCGAACUAUCCUUCGUUACCGCCUCAUGAUUCCCAUAUUCCCAAUUGACGAGAUAUGCCCAGUUUGUCGCAAGGCAUGUUUGGAUACCUUUGGGAAACACGCGAUUCAUUGUAGAGAGCUCCCUGGUUUCAAGUAUAGACAUGAUGUGGUUCGGGAUGUUCUCUUUGAUGCUUGUCGGCUUGCUGGUAUUUUUGUGAAGAAAGAAGCGCCAGUGAACUUUUUGACGGACCCCCAGGAUGGCAGGUCCACACUUAGACCGGCUGACAUUUUGGUCUUUAGAUGGAUAGGAGGGAAACAUGCAUGUGUGGAUCUUACAGGGGUCUCUCCUCUCGUGGUUUGGGGAGCGGGGGUUUCACAGUUGGGCAUGCCGCUUUGAAAGCCGCUACGUGUAAAAUGGUAAAGCACAAGAAUGCAUGUAGAGAAAAUCAACAUGUGUUUGUUCCUUUUGCAUUCGAUACAUUUGGUUUUCUCGCACCAGAGGCGGUGGAGCUCCUUAAUAGAGUCCAGCGGGUCAUGCACUCUAAUGUCAUAUCUCCUAGAUCCACAAAUGUUGUUUUCAAAAGAAUUGGUUUUGCCAUCCAGAAAGGGCUAGCGGCGCAGCUUGUUGCCCGUUUGCCGUCAAUCGAUAUGUAUUGAACUAUAAUAUUUUUAGUUCCAUAAAAUAAACACAAAAAACAAAACAAAUGAGAUGCAUUUGACUAAAUUUAUUUUAUUAACAUUUUAUAUUCCUUUUUCAUAAUUUAAAAUCAUUAAAAAACUAUAUGGUCCAUUUUGCCCUUACCUUCUAAAUUACUUCAUCUUCAACAUUCGACAUCUGUUUUACACUUAUGCUUUCUUUCUUAUUUUAAUCUCAUCGUAAUGUCAUUUAUAUUGCUCUUGUUUUUAUUUUGAUUUUGUGCUUCUUCAAAAUAAGAAUAAUGAAGAGAUUUUGAUGUUGAUUUUGUUUUUCCUCAUAAGUAAAAAAAAGGAUUAUAUACCUAUCAAUCACGGUACAUGUUUUGUCUAUGGCAACAUAUAGAUAAUCGAGUGUUUCAUAAAUAUUAUUGUGAGUGUGCAAGUCAAAGUUUGUGAUACGUCUUAUUCAAAUUGAUAAGCAUUAUUUCAAGCACGUCCAGACUCCUUAAGGCUUAAGCAAUAACCAGAAAGAUAAAGAAGUUGUGAUAUGAAGCAAUCUGAUUCUAUUAUGACAUAAGGCUUAAAUACGAGUUCAAACAGAGAGAGAAAACAUAGUUCAAUACUUAUAAAAAAUUAAAUAUUCAUCUACUACUAUUUAAAAAAAACAUUAUCUCAACCCAUCACAUAAUCCUCUUGCCAGCUUGGUUUAGUUGUUAUCCUCCGUGAUCGUCUCCUAACCUGUGUUGGCGUAAGUGGUGUAACAUUCUCUCUUCCUUUAGAAAUCACCUUGUCCUCAAGGUGGUAGUUCAGAUAGGCAAGCUUGAAGUCAUCAACCCAUUCUCAUGUUGCCUCCUCAUGUGAACCUCCCGUCCAUUACACCAACAACUGUUGCGCCAUCUGUCCAUUUCGCAGCCAACUUGAGACCCACAAACUGCUAGUGGCUGUUCAAGGGGUUGACCCUCCUCCACCUCCUCUGGUAAAGGUGAAACCACCACGCCGUCAUCACCUGUAAAUGGUUUAAGAACAAAGAUAUGAAAAACGAGAUGUAUCUUGCUUGUUUCCGGCAGUGCGGGUCGAUACGCCACCUUGCCAAUCCACUCGAGAACUUCAAAUGGCCCAUAAUAACGUUUAGACAACUUAUUAGAGAAGCAUUUGGCGAAUGAAACCUGUCGACACGAUUAUAGUUGAACCAACACCUUAUCACAGGUUGAAAUUCGACUUCAUGCCGCUUCUAGUUAGCUUUCAUUUCCAUAUGAUGACGAGCUACACUCAGGUUCUCAUUGAGGCAUCGUUUGAGAACAUCCCAUUCCACCAAUAGUUCAUCCAGAUCAGGUGUAUUGUUUGUCGGGGAUAGUCGUGGAUUGUUGACUCAGUGUGGUAGAGUUUGGGUCCUAGCAUCGGGUGGGGUGAGACAGAUAGUUUAGGAAGAGGCACAUAAGUCAAAAUUUUCUAUCCAUCCGGGGGGCCACGAAGAUGUACAUAAAUUUGAGGUUGAGUUAUUGGUGGCCCUGUAUGAAAAUGGAUAUAACUUGGUUUGUCGAGCGAUACCUAAAUUGCAGGAAAGUCGAGGCCGAGCAUCAGAGACCCCAUAACAAGAUGCAACCUUUACCCAUUCCCAUGUAGAAGUGGGAGGAGAUUGUUGGAUUAGUGUCUAAGUCCAUAAAUAUAAUUGGUAUGUACUUGACCCGAGAGUAUCAUGGUCCAUUUGGGUUGCAUGGCACUGGAACAAUCUAAAGGAUAGAUAAUUUAGAAGAGGUUAUUUAUUGUUUCUUAAUAUAUUAUAAGUUCUAAUAUAUUAAUAUGAAAUCAUAUUAUUUAAUUAGUAUUGAUCAAGAAUUAAUUUGGAAUUAAUUUUGUGAUCAAAAGAGACUAAUUAAAUAUAUGUUGAUUGAUUAUGUAAGUCAUUCAUUCUUAUAAUAUGGGCUUAUGAUCCAUAGUUCUUUGUGUUGGGCUAAACCCAUGUGGUGACCCAUGGAUGAUCCAUGGAGUUUUAAACCCAUGGAGCAUGAGGAAUAUGGAAGGUUAUGCAUAUUAGGGUUUGCAUGGUGUAACCCUAAUUAAGCCACACUAUAUAAGAACCCCUCUAGCUCAUGAAAUCAGACCUAAGGAAGCAUACACGAGGGAAGGCCGAUUUUAUGAGUGCAAGUAACCUCCUCUCAAGUUCCUCCAUUGUUAGUGGUGUUGUGUGAUUCCAUUUGAGGUGCAACACUUGGGGCACUAAGUUCUUAAAGGUCCAAGGUUUCCAACUACAAGAAAAGGUAUGUUAUUCUACUAGAUUUUGUAUUACAUAUACUUCAUAGUAUGUUAAUUAGGAUGAAACCUUGGAAUAUUGAAAGUUUGCAUGCAUAAUAGAGAAAACAUAGAUCCAAGGUUUCUAGGGUUGCAUGUACACCUUAGGAGUGUUAGAAUGCUCAAAAUCCUUCAGUGGUAUCAGAGCCUAGGCUUGUUUUCAAUUAUACUUGAUGCUAUUUGUGUUAAAAGCUUAAAAAAUCAAAUUUCUACUGUCUGGACAGUGGACUUGCCGAGUCCACUGACAGACUCGCCGAGUGAGCCCUAUAAACUGACCAACUCGUCGAGUCAGUUCAUGCACUCAACGAGUUAGUGCUCCUGGAUACAAAAUUUCGAGUUUUAAAGCUGGAAUUGGACUAUGAUCAUUACCCUAAACUGUUUUUGAACUUAUAAACCUAUUUUUGAUGUGGUAAUGAUCAUGUUUAUCCAAUUUAAAAGAUAAUUGUCAAAGUUUCAUGUUUUGUAUUAGUUUUAUGGUUAGGUUAAUUACAUGAAAUUUGUUUGAUAUGAAUUGUCUUGUUCUUAUGAGUUUAAUUUGGAUCAUAGACAAAAUUGUUUGAUUUUUUUUAAGUUACAAUAGUUGAUCUAAAUGUUUUGAUGAAUUCCAUAACUUGUCCUCAAGUUAUGGAAAAUGAAAAGUUUUCCUUUAAAAAGAUCAUUAAACUUAUAGGUUAUGUGAAACACCCGGUUCUUGGUAUGUAUUUAAAUUCAAGUAAUAUCAUGUUUUGUUCUGGGAUUCGGUGAGUUGGAGGCCUAACUCGUCGAGUAGACUCAAUUUUGACCGGGAGGUUUAGUGACCUACUCGACGAGUCGGGAGACCGACUCGACGAGUAGGGCUGUCUGGAUGAAACCCUAAUAUUUAGGGUUUGCACCCUAUUUAAACAACUUAUCCUGCCUCAACCUAGCCCCCAUCGUCCCUCCCAACUCAGUGAAACCCUAAAUUGAAACCCUAACCUUGUUUGAGUGUUCUUGAGCCAUUUUUGUGUGCUUGUGGUGAUUUUGAAGCUUGAGAAGGAAGAAGGAGCUUGGAAGUUCGAGUGGAGGAUAGUAGAUCUAGAGGUUGUGCCCCAUUUCCAACUCAUUUGAGGUAUAAAGCUGAAACCUUGACCAUCUAUCUCUUAGAUCUCUAGUUAGAGUUCAUUUCUACCUUUUCUAAGCCUUAAAGGUGCCAUACUCAGAAUUUUGUGGUUCAUUGAGGGUAUACCUUCAGAUCUGGAACCAUUGGGGGUUCUUAUGGCAUAAAGGUGCCAACUUUAUUAACAUAAGCACCCCAUGCAUCUUGUAGACUUCAUUCUAGAGCCAUUUGGGCCAAAUACCUCAUAUAUGGACGUCAAGAUUGGAACUGUACAUAUAAUAUGGACCCUAGGAGGUCAGAUCUAUGAUUUGGAUGCAGUAAGACCAAUUAAAAUCGACUGUAUACUUUUGGACAAAGAGGGACUCGGCGAGUCGGAUCGCAGUUUCCCCCAAAUGACUUCUGGAAAUGGUCUUGGUUGAGUUGAAGGAAAACUCAGCCUGUUGGGGUUUGCUAUGGACUUGAAGAUCAAAGGACUCGACGAUUUCAAGGAGGGACUCAACGAGUUCAAGGCAAUGUCCCAACCACAUGAAGACGGAUUCGACGAGUUAGACUAAACACCUUCAUACGGAUGAAGAUGAACUCGACGAGUUCAAUGAUGAACUUGGCAAGUCAGUUGAAGAAGGUCCUGAUGUUUUGUUGAAGGCAAUCUCGUCGAACUCUUGCUAGACUCGACGAGUAGGGACGGGGUUGUAGCAUUUUGUGGACAUGGGGACUCGACGAGUUGGUGGACCAACUCGGCGAGUCUAGUCAACCAGAGGUUGACUUUGACCAAGGUUUCGACCUUGACUUUGACUUGGACUUGAGUUGACCGUUGUAAGGGUUAUGAGUAUGAAAUGGAAAUUUAGAAAGGUUGUUGUGUAGGGAUUGAGGAGUUGAGAAGAGUUGAUUUCCAUACUGAGGACAGUGCAGACACUACACAACAUCGAGGUAAGUUACCUUUUAGUAGAGGUGGGUCUACGGCCAUAAUGUCGGACCACUAGCAAGAGUUGUCUUUAAAUGAUUGUGGUUGUGAUAAUUGUCUAGGUUUGCUACUAGCUGAUGUGUCUUAUGUGCCAGCAUGAUAUAUUAUAUGAGAUAGUGGUAGUAGGAGGGGUAUAGUCCCCCGAUUCGGUCGUAAGGACCGAAGGGUAGGUCAGACACCCCAGAUAUGUUUGACAACAUGAAUAUGAUAUGUUAUUAUGUGAUAGUGGUAGUGAGUGAAACAGUCCCCGUGGCCGGUUGAGAUAGACCGGAGGGUAGGCAGGCACCCUAAAAUGGCCUGACGGGUAGGUCAGCACCCCAAAAUGGCUUGACAUGGGUAGGUCAGUACCCCAGAAUGGCUUGACAUGGGUAGGUCGGGCACUCCAGAAUUGCCCGACAGGUGCUUUGUCGGUCCAAAGAUCCUAAAAAAGUGGAGACUGACUAAUGUUGAGUCUAGGAGGUUGCAACAUUGGGCUUCGUUAGUUAGUCCAAUGUUGUCUCGGUAUGAGCCUGUCCAUCCGUGUUUAUGACAUUAGGAUUUAGUAUUUAUGGUGCAUGCAUGCAUCGUCUUUUGUAAGCUUUUCAAGAAUUAUUAUCUCUUUCAUUGUAUUGUAACCCUAGAACACCUCUACAGUAGAAUUUCUUUGUCGAUCUCUUCUGAGGUGUUGCGGUAUUAAUCAUUCAACAUUUGUUUGAUUCAUCAUGUGUUCUUUCUAUUAUUUACAUUCUGAUUUACUUGCUAAAAAUCUAAUCAAUCUUAAAAGAGUUUUUCAUCUCCACAAUUGGUAUCAGAACAGGAGACUGUGUAAUCCAUACGCAUCUCUUCUGUUGAAGAAAGUUUUAGGGUUUCUGCUAUCAUCGUUUUGAUAGAGCCGUCAUCUUGAUAUUGACAUUGCUCUUAGAUCUCUAUUUUACCCUAACAUGUUUACUAGUCUGAUUGUUGGCAAGUUAUCAAACCGAAUCAUCAUGUCACACGACGACCCUCAAUCUAACCCCAUAAACAUAUCCAACAUUAUCAAAUAUACCACAAGAAUCCCGAUUUUAUACACUCAUGAUUAUGAAUUCUAGACACAUCACUUCGAGGACUAUGUUCUUGGUUUAGAGGAAAAUGGGUAUCUAAUCUGGGAAGCAAUCACUGUGGGUUCGUUUACUCAUUCUGGAACGAGCAAAAUUAUCAAGACGCAAAAGGAAUACAAUCAACUUAUGAUUGACGUAGAAAGGUUCCUCAAGACGAGAAGGACAAACUAAUGAGCAACAUCAAAUCCAUGUGGAUGAUCUGAUUUGCCCUAAAAUCUAAUACGUUUCGUCUAGUCAGUACAUGCAUAACAACAAAGAAGAUCUGAGAUAGGCUUAAGGAGAUAUAUUCAACAAAUGAAGAUUUAGAGCACUCGAUACAAACUCUAUUUUUCUUUGAGUUCGGCGACUUCAAGCAGAAGCCGAAAGAGAAACUCAUUCAAAUGUUUGAUCGCUUCAAUCAUCUCCUUAGCAAGAUGAUCAAACAUGGAAUUAGCAGAGAGGUAAUUGAGCAGACAGUCACUUUUAUGAAUGGUCUGAGACCCGAAUGGAUGGCAGUGGUUUCGACUGUAAAAGCUCAUGAACAGUUCAAAGCUUAUUCAUUGGCUAAGCUUGUAGGAAUACUCAAAUCACACGAAAGCAUUGUGACCAAGGAACCGAACGUGGUUUCUAGUAUGGGAUCGUUGGCUCUUCUCUCAAAGGGAAAGAGCAUGGAUGAAGAAGAAGAAGAGUUGGGUCUUUCUGAAUGUGAUCUAACAAACGAAGAAUAUGCAUUGAUGGUCUCUAAUCCCAAGAAGUUCGCUCGCAAAAAGUUACCUACCUCUAAGAACUGAAACUAGCAAUGUAGCUACAGUUCAAAAAAGGCGAAUGUAACACCGUAAAUUUUCAAACAAAAUUUUCAUUUUAAAAUCAUAUAAUUCUCAUAACACAUUUCAUAAAAAUCUCAUUGAUUUAAUUUACAAAACACAACUCCAUGAUUGUUUUGAUUCGUACUCCAGGAUCCUCAAAACAUAACUCCUGCUUUGGUGUGUACAAUCAAGUCGGUGUCUUCCCGCGAUCCUAGGAAAACCUGAAACACAUAUCACAUAACACGGUAAGCAUGAAGCUUAGUGAGUUCCCCAAAAUACUACACAUAUCUCAUUAGCCUCUCAUGGCUGUACUCAGAUAAGACCCUCCGGUCAAUGUGUCUCAGUGGGACCCUCUGGUCCCACAACUCAGUUGGACCCUCCGGUCCCUCAACUCGACAACUCAAUAUAAAACACAACCUAUAAAUCACAAAGACAACUAGCAGGAUAUAUCAAUACACGGUAUAUGCACAUAAGACCCUCCGGUUACACAUAUAUUACCUUAAGGUAAGUAUAGUGAGAACAGUCACCUCGAAUGAUGAAUAGCCCUUAUAACACUACUGCUAUGCAUCGGCCUUUAACUCUGUGCCAAACCCACAAUUAACUCAAUUAGGAACUAAGUCCAAACUCUCACUCAUUAAGUAGAAAGGGAAUCCACUAACUAGCCCAUUAACACCCUGAAACUCAUUUGGCCCAAAAGGCCCAAUACUGAAUGGGCUUGCCCGAGGCCCAACUCUUAAGUCCAAGUGACCAGCCCUACUCAAGGGCCCAAUACAUAAUUAUAAUAUUUUCCCUGCUCAUAGUCUCCAACACCCAAGCCCAAAGAUUCAGGCCCACCCUUAAGGUCCAACAUAUGCUCUAGCCCAAACGCCCACAGAGGAGUUACGCGGAGCGUACCUUUCUUGGUACGCUCAGCGUACUCACGCAUGCAUGAAACUGAUCGGGACAUUAACCCAGUACGCGGGGGCGUACUGGAUCUUACGUCGGGCGUAUGCUCAGUUUGCUUUAGACCAUUCCCUUGGUCUUAACCCGUUAAGUCCUUAGCUCAUUUCUUAGAUCUAGACUCCCUAAUGUCUCUUAAUCCAUAAAGUUAUUGACUAUAAGCCUUUGCAUGGCUGAUUAGGUCACAAACACUCAAAAUAACCAUCCUCUUUCCUCAUGAAUCUGGAAAAUUGAUAAGUAUUAUUUAAAUGUGUUUAUUUGUAUUUGAAUAUUUAUUUGAUAAUGGAUAAAUAUUAUUUAAAUAUGUUUAUUUGAAUUUGAAUAUUUAUUUGAUAAUUGAUAUAUAUUAUUUAAAUGUGUUUGUUUGAAUUUGAAUAUUUAUUUGUUAUUUAAAUUGUGAAUUUAAAUAUUUAAUAUUAUUUAUAUUAUGGAUGUAUAAAUUUGAAUAUUAACCCUCAUGUUUUAUUAAUUGUUAUAUUGCAUCCUCGCAAUUAAUUAGAAUUAAUAAUAGACAACUAAAUUUAAAGAGUUUUAAAUUUACCCCUUAUGUAUAUNUCAUACAUAUAUAGAUAUAUAUAUAUAUAUAUAUAUAUAUAUAUAUAUAUAUAUAUAUUAGAAUUGUGACUAUUAUAUGUAUAAGAAAGUUACAACAUGCGUCCUCGCGUGUUUAAAUAUUGUCAUGGUCAGUCUUACGUGACUAGGCUCAUCCAUUCUAAUGUAGGGGUUUAAGGAGGUCUCUUUGAUUCCUAAUAAGGUCGGUUUUUAAUUUGCUUUGUGCUUACCACCCUCACCGCCCUAUUGCAUUUUGAGAAUGGAGUUACCGAAAGGGUUUGAUAGUGAUAGUGGUCAAUCUAAAAGUAUUCUAAAUACAAGUAUAAAACAAAAUCCCGUUUUAUUAAUAGAAUGUGAGUUUAGAUUAUCCAUGAAAAUUGCACAUUGUCUUUAUAUUUUGUUUGUGGAGCUCGCGUGGUUAACCGACACAUCAAUCUAGAGUAUAGUUGAGAAUGAUAUGGAACUCGCAAAUCUCAAGCGUAACUUGAGCCGGGGACCAUGCAAAUUUGCAAGGUUAAUUCUCAAUCUAUAUAAUAUGAAUCUUAUGUUAUCCAUAAAAGUUGCACAAUCUCUUUAUAACUUGUUGAUGGAGCUCACGUGGUUAACCCACACGUCAAUUUGAGAGUAUAGGCAGAGAAUGAUGUGGAACUCGCGAAUCUCAAGCAUAACUUGAGCCGGGGAGUGGGGACCAUGCGAUUUUGUAUGGUCGAUUCACCAUCUGUCCAAUAUUCCGCGGCGACUGUCAUUGAAUUUGAGAUGAACAUAAUCCGAGAUUAACAUGCCAUUGAUAGUCAAUGAAUCUCAAAGAUCUAGGAAUUUCGUGGUGAUCGAAAUUGGCAAAGGGCUUUGCCUACCUAAAUAACUUUAUGGUGCGUUUAAGGCAUCCCUUUACACAUCAUGGACUCAAAUAUGGAUCCUAGCCUUCUAAAAUAAUUUAGGGUGAUUAUUUUCUAAGGAUAAGUAAAACAAACUAUAAUGGAAUUUUACUGAAUGAUGUCGAAAACCUUAUCCACUAAAAUCUACUGCUAUAAAACCUUUGAAAGGAUUAGAUGUGAGGAUGAUCAAUCUUGUCAAUUUCGUAGUUUGGGAAUAGUUCUCAUAAAUGAAAGGAAAGAUCAUGCCUUUGUUAAAGCUCUUCCUAGGUUACUUCAAACAUUGUAUUCUAAGUUGUUAGAAAGAGCAAUUAUCAAAUGUACGUUGUAAAUUGACAUAUUGAAGUAAAAUGGAAUUUCCUUGAGUUAGGAGUUGACUAUGGUUAGUCGACUAGCUAACACGUACAUAUGAUCAGUUCAUUCUGAUUUUGAUAUGAAAAACUUGGAAUGUCCAUUAAGGAGUUGUGUAGCAUGCUGAGGUUUCCUUUUGGAACUAGCAUGGCCAAUCAUAGAAACACAUACUUCAAAACACACCCAUAUUUUACUAUCAUGAGUAGAAGUGUCAAGAAGAAGAAAACCAAUUACCCACGGUUUAAAAGGAGAUUAGUGUAGGUAUACCUAAUCUAGGCCCUAAUACCUAGGACAAAGGAAGGCUUAUUCUAAUACAUGUUUUGAUAGCAAUUCGUUUCCAUAACAUGAAAAAGUACUAAGAAAGAAAACUUGCCCAAAUGUAUAUUUGAGGUGAAAGGACUACAACAUGAAGAAGUUAAAUUUGAUUGUGGAUCACGAGCCCGUGCUACUUUCCAUAGGAUCAAAAGAUAACUAGUUCUCCCAUGUUUGGUGUUCAAUCAAAUAUAUGGAUUUAUAAUGCCAUCAAAACAUUACUUCUAAACCUUGAGUGUUUUGCUAAGGAUUAGUGCUGACAUUUACAAGAAUGUGCAAUCACUAAAAUGAAGUAAGAAGACUAAAAUAUGGAGAAGAUAGUCUGAUCAUGAAUGCCAAGCCCUUGCUACAUUCAUAUGAUCAAAAGAAAACUCUUUUCAAAAUGUAUAGUAUAUGCUAUUAUAAUUGAAAUUGUUUGUAUUAUGAUUCAUGAGAUAAUUCUGACUUAUUUAAAUGUGGAGCAUUCUAACAUGUUAAAAGAAAGUCAUGAAAUCUAUGAAGCUAGUAUAGUAGCAAUAGUUCGAACAUUUGAAUAAGGUGUAUUAUUAUGAAUAUAAGUUGAUGUUAGUUCAACUAAUGGAUCGUUCAGAUUGACCAUAAUAAGUACUUAUUCAAAUACAACCAAAUGUUUGGGUGAAAUGUAUUUGUGGAAUCAUAGUACUGGAUACAUAAAUGAGAUAUGCAUUACCAAGUAUCCAGGUGGAUCAGAUUUUGGAUAUUAUUUGACCUCAAGUCUUAUGAUAAAUGCAAAUCUUGUUUAUCAAGAUAGAUGAUGAAUGCGUCACUAGGUGAUGUAAGUAUAUGUUGGAAUUAGUUCACACUAAUGGACUGUUCAGAUUAACCACGAUACAUAGUGAGACCAACUUCGUAUGAAUGUGAGUCUGGAACCUCUCAAGUGUUCAGAGCUCUCAUAUAGCAAAGUUAAGAAUCAAUUGGACAAUAGGAUGAGACACUCAUACAGAGAAUCUCAGUCCAAACUUUAUCGAUCAUCUAAGUGAUCGUGAAAGAGUUUCAUGAUCUAUCUCCGCCCAAAGCACUACCAUUAGGAAGUGUUAGUUAGAUAGAGAAACAAAUCGUUCAUUGAUUUUGUACUAGAUGAGUCGCAUUGUGUUUGCUAACAAUUUGUGGAUUAUACCAUGAAUAGUGUUACAAGAAGUCCUUUGGUCUUGUGCCAACUAAGUAGGUUCCUGAAACACUCUAUGAUAUGUGAAGUAGGAUUCUAUCCUCACUGCCAUAUCUGUAAGUCUACGAGUAUGAGGCUUACGCUUGUCAUGAAGCGCUCAACAAUCUAGGACUUUGAUUAAAGAUGUGUUAUCUCGUUGGAGAGCCCAUCAAGCAUUUUGGAUAAUUGUUUAACAACCUUCUGAGAACAAAGUGUAUGUUGCUUAAAGGGCAGUCUUCCAAGAGAGGGAGCUGAUUUCCAAAAGGGCUAGUGGGAGCCACACUGAUCUUGAUAAGAUUCAAGAGUCAACCAACGAAGAUCCUAAAGUUGGACAUAAAAUUCAAUUUGGAAUUGAAAGAGCUAUUAAGGAAACUGACAUGUUUCCAUUUUCCUUAUAGAUCUGAUAGAAGACGUCAUGGACCUAGUUAUAUAAGAGUUUAUAUUGCUAAGGUAUUUGAGUCACUUCUAGAUAGCAAUCAGAGUGUACCGGCUAUCGUAAGCUAUGGUAGGCCCUAAAGGCAACAACAUAGAAAGAGGAAUUGGAAAGCGAGAUUCACUCCAUGUAUGUUGUUAUUUGGUAGACCAAGCACUUGACCUUAACCCUUAGGGGCAAGUAGAUCUUCAAGUAGAAACAAUCAUGGAUAGGAACAAACACAUAAUUAAACCAAGAUAGGUUUUGAAGGAUGUGUAAGCUUAAUAAGUUCAUUUAUGGACCGAAAUAAGCAUCUCGCAAGUGGGAUCAUUAUUUCAAUGAGAAAGUUCAAGGAGUUUGAAUUUCGAGAAAUAAAGAUAAGCCAUAAUAUAUGUAAAAGCUAGUGGGAGUAAUUGGAAUUGUUUUUUUAAUGAGAAAAGUUCAAGGAGUUUGAAUUUCGAGAAACAUAGAUAAACCAUAUAUAUGUCAGUGCUAGUGGGAGCACUGUAGUCACCCUUGUAUUGUACACAGACAAUGUACGAUUUAUUGGAAACCAUAUUCUAACAUGGCAGGUGUAAAAGCUUGGCUUGGUAUGAGAAUUGUUUCACUAUGAUAUACAUGGGAGAUACAAGACACGUGCAUAAUAAGGAUCUAUGGAGAUAGAUUAAAGUGAUUCAUUGGAUUAAGCCAAAGUACAUGGAAUGUUGAGGAAACUCGAAAAGGAGUUUAGGCUUAUUACAAUAUGGCACGGCAUUGAGCAAUGCUAAUGUCCCGGUUCUACUACUGAGCUAAAGCAAAUGAUUUGUGUCCCACAUGCUCCUGCUAUGGGAUCGAUCAUAUAUGCCAUAACAUGUACCAAAUCUGAUGCCUCGUAUACCUUGUGCAUGAUAAGUUGGAUUAGAUCAAUUUGGUGAGAAUCAACGAAUCAAGAUCAAGAACAUUCUUAAGUGUCCUUGGAGGACAGAAGAAAUGAUAUUGAUAAUAUGGAAGAGAUCAGUGUAAGAGUUACAUUGAUGCUAAGUUCCAAACUGAUAAACGCAAUUUCGUUUGCAAUCGGAAUUCGUGCUUUUACUAAAUGGUGAUAUAUUAGCUUGGAAGAGUACCAAAUAAUACACCAUAGUGAAUUUAACAUACUUAGAGUAUGUUGAAGUUGGUCAAAUUGCAAAGAAGACAAUGUGGCUGAAAGAGAUUCAUUAGUGACAUCUUUGUUGAAAUUCAAUCAUUGAUGGUCCUUAUGAAGUUUCUUGUGACUUUAGGGGUGAACUUACCUCGAAUAUGGAUCCUAAGUCACACAAGCUCACAUUACACAUACUCAGUAAGUACUAACGCAUUUGAUAGUGAGUCAAAUGUAAAAACAUCGUAGUCAACGAUUCAUAUCGAAAAAUAUUCUUGUUGAUCCAUUCCUAAGCCAAUAUCACUGACCAAGUCUGACAGUCAGACAAAGUCUAGAGGCAUUAGAUUUGCAAAUGAAUUAGAUUAAACACUCUUAGUUUGGUUUGUUUUAAAACCCGAGAACUUUAAGCAGUAUAAGUUUUUCAUUUGAUUUGGCGAUUAUUAAGUGGUGAUCUUAAUACAAGAUGGAUUUCGAUCAUUUCAAUUAGCCUAUCACUACAUUCUCACUUUUGCAUGUUUGGAACCCAAUUCUCGAGUAUUAAUUUACUCAAACGUCCACAGUCGUACAUACUCUUGGAAGUAAGUAGUGAUCCAAGUCUAUCAUGAGUAUUAGUGGCUUGUCUAUAUUGAUUGGACAUAGCAAAGAGAUUGCGCUAACACUCAUGAGUGCUUAAUAGAGAUUUAAGUAUUGGACCAACCCACGUUUAGAGAUUAUUUCAUGGAUUUAGUCACGAGUAAUUCUAAGACGAUAAUAUCUUCUAUUCUUUAAACCUAGAUACAUGUGGGCUUUUGCUCUAUGAUUUUGUUAUGCAUUGGACUACUCCAACGCUAACCAUAACUGGUAGUUAUAAAGGGUAUGUCCAUGUGUGACAUGAUGAAAUAGACAAAAACUAUGUAGUCGAAGUUUAUUCGUUCCUUCUGCCUUAAUGGGAGAAGCGAUAUCUAUGGGCCCCUUGAUGAUUUGGUGUUGACAUCUAAAGUGCUUGGUCGAGCCCUGACUGGAAUUGAUGUGUUCAAUUUAGUAGUCAGAUGCAGUCAUCACAAAUCUAUAUCGGGAAACAUAAUCUUGAAUUUUUUAGAUUGACCAUUAUCCAUGUCUCGAACUCAUACAGAUAUCAUAGAACGAAGGGAUAGUUGAUCACUUUUCUAAGAGCUGAAUCUUGAUUAGAUCAAGAGUUCGGUAGUUGCAUUGGAUGGCUAACUCUCUGUUGAUUAUUGGAGAAAUAUUAGUCCUCGUAUAGUUGAUGAAUUGUCCAAGUGGGAGACUGUUGGAAUAGUGUCCGAGGUCAUUAACUAUUGGUACUAUUUCUAAUGUUGGGCUUUAGCUUAUUGGUUGACUAUUAGGCCUUUGGAGUGUGAGUUGGACCUUGGGCUUGGAACCCAUUUAUUAAUUGGGUGUUGUUGGAUGUUGACAUCUUGUAAAUCUGUCAACCAGCAGCUGGAGUUUUGUCUGCGGGACUUCAGCAGCGCGUCAGGUGAGUUAUCCUCACUAUCGUAACGACCCAAUUUUCACGUCCAAAAAUUCCAUUUUUGAUUAAGUGAUUUGCAAAAUAUUAUAACAUAAUAUCAACCGAUCAUAUCAUUUCAUAAAAACAUGUCUCAUGUCUGAAAACCGAAUCGUAAAAACAUAAUAAUGUGCCGCUACCGCGCCAGCUCCUUCCCCUUAGCUGAAGAGGUACCUGAAACCAAAACUAUAAACUGUAAGAACGAAGCUUAGUGAGUUCCCUCAUCGUACCACACACCAUACAAAUCACAUCACAUACAUACUGUCGGACAAUUCUGGGGUGCCGACCUACCCGUACGACCAUUCUGGGUUGCCGACCUACCCGUGUUAAGCCAGUCUGGGGUGCUGACCUGCCCGUCGGUCUUAACAACCGACCCUCGGGGACUAUUCCACCCCCUACUACUACUAUCACAUAUAUCAUAACAUAAACAUAUUAUCAGACAUAUCUGGGGUGUCCGAACUACCCUUCGGUCCUAACAACUGAACUCUACUACUAUCACAUAUAACAUAUCAUGUAGUAGCAAACCUAGAUGAAUAUCACAAAGACAAAAAUCUAACAUACAACUCCUACUGGUGGGCCGGCAUUGUGACCGUAGACCCACCGCUACUGGAAGGUAACUCACCUCGUAGUAGCUACUGAACUGUGCGGGAAUCCUCUGCCUCCUGCCGCUGCUGCUCCGGAAAUCCUCCGGCUAUAAUUCCCACAAAACACUUAGUCAUACACUGCUAACUGUUCUUAGGGUAAAAUGACCAUUUUAACCCUUACCAAGUCAAAGUCAAAGUCAACUUCCAGUUGACCUGACUCGCCGAGUUGGCUCGCCAACUCGUCGAGUCCCUAUCCUUCCAUUUGUCCUUAUACCCGCCUCUACUCGUUGAGUUAGGCGAUAACUCGACAAGUUUUCAUUCUAAAUGAAUAUCGAAUGAAUCCUCAUCCGACUCGCCGAGUUGUAUGAACAACUCGUCGAGUUCAUCUUCAUCCUUAGAAGAUUGCCUUGGACUCGCCGAGUACGUUCAUGCACUUGCCAAGUCCCAUGAACUUCCAGAACAAAGGAUUAGUCUAGAUCGUUGGGUCACUCCCCGGGACCCUCCCUAAAACCUUUCCUCACUCACUGGGUCCUUUUGACCCUCAACUGAUAUGGGACAGAAACCUUGGACUCGCCGAGUCCAAGAAUGGACUCGUCGAGUUAGUCACAUCCACUCACUAAAUCUUCGAUUUCUGAUGUACAACCCUUGAUCAAAAGAUAGAUCUAUGCUUCUACAAUCGAUCUAGCACGUAAAGUUACAACCUUUACGUGCUUGCAUGGGACUUUGAUCUCAAAAGGUCCUAAAACAAGAUCUUACAAUGCAUGGGGCCUUCUUUGAGUGCAAAAGCCACUCCUUUCUGCCUUGUAACCCCUCUAAGGAACCAGAUCCGAAACAUCAACCCCAAACCAUGCUUGCAAUCAUGGUUGGUGACCAAAAUGGCUUAGAAAAAGCCCUAAAACUCCACAAAAUGGGAUCUAUCAAAAGAGCAAACAAGGUAUAGACUUUAUACCUUCUGUAGACUGCAAAUGAUGCUCAAAGUCGGAUCCCUCUAGCCUCCUCUUGAUCCUUCAAGCUUUUCCUUCCUUCUUUGGAUCAUAAAAGCACCAAAAUCACUCCAAAUGCCUUAGAUUGCUUCAAUAACGGCUAGGGUUUGCUAUGGGGGUCUUCUGGGAGCAAAUGGGACGAAGGAGGCCGAGUUAAGGUGUUGAAAUAGGGUGCAAACCCUCAGAUUAGGGUUUUUGUCCAGAUAGGGCCUACUCGCCGAGUCCGAGACCCAACUCGUCGAGUCCGCAGCUUAAACUCCGCGUCUCACCCCGCUUCUACUCGGCGAGUUGGUCCUUCAACUCGCUGAGUCCAAGGCCAAAAUGCAAAAUAUGUUAAAGAAGAGAAUAUGUACCAAGAACCAGGUGCUACGAAUCUCCCCCACUUAUUUUAGACUUCGUCCUCGAAGUAUGGUGCUCGAUCCUGAAACAGCUCGGGGUAAUGCUCCAUCAUCUCGUCCACCGGCUCCCAAGUCCACUCUGACCCCUUCCGGUGCUGCCAUUGAACCUUCAUGAGUUCCGCUCUUUUGUUCCUCAAAUCCUUCGACUUCCAGUCGAGGAUUGCCACCGGUCGCUCAAUGUAGUUCAGGCUGCCAUCAACCUGAAUGUCCUCCAAGGGUACCACUGCUGAGGCGUCCACCAGGCACUUUCGCAGCUGCGAAACAUGGAAAGUGUUGUGUAUCUGAAUGAGUUCGGCUGGCAAAUCCAGCCUAUACGACACCUUGCCCACCUGUGCUACAACCCUGAACGGUCCAAUGAACCUGGGGCCCAACUUGCCCCGCUUCCUAGAUCGGAUAACGCAUUUCCAUGGCGACACCUUCAGGAGAACCAUAUCCCCGACUUGGAACUCCAGGUUCUAUCAGCGCUUAUCGACAUAGCGUUUCUGCCGACUAUGAGCAGUCUGAAGCCUGCUCCGGACCUGCUGAAUCUUCUUUGUCGUCUUGAGCACUACCUCAGUGCUCCCCAUCACCCUCUGGCCAACCUCGCCCCAACAUAUCGGGGUCCUGCACUUCCUCCCAUAUAGCAUCUCGAAGGGAGGACGAUCAAUGCUCGCAUGAUAACUAUUGUUAUAGGAGAACUCUGCCAAUAGAAUGUCGGUAUCCCAACUACCCCCGAAGUCUAACACACAUGCUCGCAGCAUAUCCUCCGGGGUAUGGAUGGUCCGCUCGCUCUCACCAUCCGUUUGCAGGUGAAAGGCGUUGCUAAAAUGCAGGCGAGUACCCAGCUCGUCAUGAAACUUCUUCCAAAACCUGGAAGUGAACUGCACAUCCCUGUCUAAAUCACAGAAACUGGCACACCAUGCCGCACCACCACCUCCCGAAUAUAGAUGUCGGCCAACUUCUCGGCUGAGAUGCUCUCCUGAAUCGGGAUAAAAUGGGCGCUCUUGGUCAAUCGAUCGACGAUGACCUAGACCGAAUCCACUCCUCACGCGGUCCUGGGAAGCUUGGUGAUAAAAUCCAUCAUGAUGUCUUCCCAUUUCCACAGCGGAAUAUCCAACGGCUGCAUCUUGCCGUGAGGUCUCAGAUGCUCCGCCUUGACCUUCCGGCAGGUCAAGCACCGCUCCACAAACCAUGCCACAUCCCGCUUCAUGCAGGGCCACCAAUAAUCCAGACUAAGAUCCGUAUACAUAUUCGUCUCCUCGGGAUGAAUGGAGAACCGAGAUUUGUGUGCCUCCUCCAUCAGAACCUGGCGCACACCCCCGUGGUAUGGCACCCACACCCUACGGUGUAGUGUCAGUAAUCNNNNNNNNNNNNNNNNNNNNNNNNNNNNNNNNNNNNNNNNNNNNNNNNNNNNNNNNNNNNNNNNNNNNNNNNNNNNNNNNNNNNNNNNNNNNNNNNNNNNNNNNNNNNNNNNNNNNNNNNNNNNNNNNNNNNNNNNNNNNNNNNNNNNNNNNNNNNNNCUUGCGGCUAAGCGCGUCGGCCACCACAUUGGCCUUCCCCGGGUGAUAAAGGAUCUCGCAAUCGUAAUCCUUUACCACGUCCAUCCACCGACGCUGCCUCAUGUUUAGAUUCGGCUGAUCCAUGAGGUACCUUAAACUCUUAUGGUCCGUGUAGAUGGUACAACGAACCCCAUAGAGGUAAUGACGCCAAAUCUUGAGGGCGAACACAACAGCCUCCAGCUCCAAAUCAUGCGUCGGGUAGUUCGCCUCGUGAGGCUUCAGCUGCCUCGACGCGUAGGCGAUGACAUGCCCUCUAUGCAUCAAUACUACGCCCAACCCUGAGAUGGACGUAUCGCAGUACACAGCAAAAUCCUCCAUGCCCUCUGGUAGGGCUAAGAUUGGCGCCUCGCACAAUCUCUGUCUCAAUGUCUCGAACGCGGCCUGCUGCUCAGGCCCCCAUUGAAAGACCAUGACCUUCCUUGUUAGCCUGGUCAGGGGUAUGGCUAUCUUGGAGAAAUCCUGGAUGAAUCUCCGAUAGUAGCCGGCUAAUCCUAGGAAACUUCGAAUCUCAGAUGGAGACUUCGGAACCUCCCAUCUCAUCACGGCCUCCACUUUGGCCAGGUCCACUGAAAUUCUGUUCUGGUUGACGAGAUGCCCAAGGAACUGCACCUCGCGCAACCAAAACUCACACUUAGAGAACUUAGCAUACAAGUUCUCCCUCCUCAAGGUCUCCAGCACCUCUUGCAGGUGCUCCUUGUGCUCCUCCUGCAUCUUGGAAUAAACCAAGAUAUCAUCAAUAAACACUAUCACCGACCGGUCUAACAUCGGUCUACAUACGCGGUUCAUGAGGUCCAUGAACGCUGCAGGAGCAUUGGUGAGCCCGAAGGGCAUCACCACAAACUCGUAGUUGCCAUAGCGCGUCCGAAACGCAGUCUUCUGUACAUCCUCCUCUCUGACCCUCAUCUGAUGAUAUCCUGAACACAGGUUAAUUUUGGAGAUCCAAGAUGCGCCCUGUAGCUGGUCAAAGAGGUCAUCAAUCCUCGGGAGUGGGUAACAAUUUUUCACCGUUACCUUGUUCAGCUCCCGAUAAUCUAUACACAUCCGAUGCGACCCGUCCUUCUUCCUCACAAACAGAAUCAGGGCUCCCCAGGGAGAACUACUCGGUCUAAUGAAUCCCUUGUCUAACAGAUCCUGCAGCUAUAUAGACAACUCCUGCAUCUCAGGAGGAGCCAACCGAUACAAUGCCUUGGCUAUCGGAGCCGCACCAGGGACUAGGUCGAUCCUGAACUCCACCUGCCUCUCCGGAGGUAUCCCUGGCAACUACUCAGGGAAUACAUCCGUAAACUCUCGCACCACGGGCACAACAUCCACUAUCGCCUUACCCGUCUCUCGGGUGUCCAUGACAUAAGCGACAUAUCCUGCGCAACCCUGCCGAAGGUAACGCCUAGCCCUCGCUGCUGAACAUACCGCUCGUCCUUUCUAUGGCCUCUCGCCCUGAACUACCAACUCUUCCCCACUUGGGGUCCUGAUCCGAACUAGCUGCUGUGCGCAAUCUAUCACUGCCCCAUUGGGGCUCAACCAAUCCAUGCCUAUAAUUACCUUGUUCCCUCUCAACGAAAUAGGAACCAGGUCUACCAGAUAACGCUCCUCGAAUAUUCUUAGCACACAAUCUUGGAAUAUCGUCGAUGCUCGCACCGAUCGGUCAUCUGCAAUCUCUACCUCUAAAGGGCAAUCCAACAUGCCCGAAGACUCAAGGAACUUCUUGCUAAGCGCAAUAGAGACAAAUGAUCGAGUAGCACCCGAAUCAAACAAUAUCUGAACUGGAAUACCGUUCACAUGGAAAAAUCCUAAACAGAGCACAUACAUAACAUGUCAAAAUCACAACAGCAUAUCAUAACAACAUAAAUAAGAAGUCAUACCUGUCACCACAUCGGGUGCAGCGUGCCUCCUCGGUAGUCAACUGGAAUGCCCCGGCUCCUCACCACUGGAGCCUCUGCCUUGCCCUGCCGGCCAUCAGUGAUCCACAGGGUCGCUGGAGCUGGCACCUUCACUGGCGUUGAUGCUGCUGUCAACUGGGGGCAAUUGGCCUUCAUGUGGCCCCUCUAGUUGUAGUGGAAACAUAGCAACUCAGACGUCUGAAUAACCGGUGCAGGGGCAGUACAGUCCCUACUGAAGUGCCCCGUCUUUCCGCACUUAUAGCAGCCCGAUGAUCCCAAUCUACACGCCCCCUCAUGUGGCCUGCCGCAUUUCCUGUAGCGGCCCGGUCCUGACUGGCCUUCCGGCCUACCAUCUGAUCCCUUGGGCUUCUUCCCCGAAGCGCCAAUUGUCUGACCCUCCUCAGUCUUCCUCUUCCGGACAUGCUCUAGAUCAAUCUCCCUCUCCCUAGCCCUGGCAAUCAUGGAAUCCAGGGUAGGGCAAGCUGAAAAACUAACAUGCUCCCGAAUGUCGGCUCGCAACAUGUCAUGAUAGCGGGUCCUCCUUAUAUCCUCAUCUCCCGAAUACUGGGGCACCAGAAAUACCCUCUCCCGGAACUUGGCGGUGAUCUCUGCCACAGUCUCCGUAGUCUGUCUCAUGUCCAAAAACUCUCUGGCCAGCUGUUGAAGCUCUACCGCUGGCGUAAACUUUGCUCGAAACCGGGUCACAAAAUCCGACCAUGUCAUAGCCUCAACAGCCGAGGCUCCCAAUGAGUCACCAACAGACUCCCACCAGUCUCUAGCUCUGUCUCUCAAACACCCUGCUGCAUAUCUCACCUUCGACCCUCGGGGCAGAAGCUGGUCAACUGUGCGGACUCAAUGUCUGCAAUCCAUCGUCUAGCAGCAAUGGGGUCCUUUACCCCAUGGAAAUGCGGCACACCACUGCUCCUGAAGUCCUGAAAGGACAGUGUGCGGGAUCCUGACUGGCCAGACGCCACAUCACUCCUUAACGCCCUGAGGCGAUCCUCCAUCAGCUCAACUAUCCCUUCCUUGAUCGACCCAAAGAUGAUGGGGGUCCACUCAAGGAUGCCUCUGGUGAUCUCUGACGCGAUGAACUCGCGUAGCCUCUCGUCUACUGGCUUGGAACCUGAUUGUGAACCCGAUCCCUCUCCUGAACUGCCAACUACUGGCCUCUAUCGAAGUACCACCAUUCUGCAAUACAUAAUACCAACUGUUAGUGAUACCGAUACCUCUAGAGGGAUCACAUCCACUACAAGUUUCCUGGUCUUCCACAUCUAUCCGUAUCUUCCUCAAGGUAUGCCUUGACUCCACCAAGUCCCUUUCACCACUGCUAAUUCUCUUCUAUUCCCAUUCUAGGCUUACCCUAGGGAAAAUCUCUGACGCCACCCAAACCGGUCCUCAGCUGCUGAAGGUCUCCUUGUAAUGCCAAUUCCACUACCUGNCCAUCACAUGUGAUGAGGCUCAGAUAAUCCUUCGAGUAACAGACUCGUCUCUACAAUGGUUAGACUCAGACAAGAGCUGCGCAAUAGGGCCAAAUCUAGCACUCUGAGAUUAUUCAACCAUGAUCACAUGUGACGUGGCGUAUUCACCUAAUGGCUAACUUACAUCACUUAGAGUCCCUCAAAGCACAAAGCAAGCGGCAUUCGGACGCAGAAAAAAAACUACUCAAGCAAAUUUGUUCUCAUAAUGAGAAAUUGCACUAGCAUACAAUGCUAAGCUCAUACUAUUAGGCAUAACCUAAACAGGCCAUCCUAUUGUUGUCUACUCAAUACUAGCAUGCAUUUCACAUAAGCUGAAGCACAUAGAGCAGGCACAUAAGGCAUCAUUUCUAGAUCCUUAGUCCUAUUCUAGCAUGUUGUUCUACUGAAUCUGAUAAACAUAGUAUAACAUUGUAUGGGUACUUUGGGGAAUACUUACUUGAGCUCGGCCGGUCGCGCACAUCACACACUUGUUAUUUCUCAAAAACUCUUCUGUCUUAUUCUUUAGAAAGCCAUUUUCUUAUAAAAUCUUUUAAUCCCUCGAUUUGAGUCCAGACACCCCUUGAAGGUGUGUCCGAAUCCCUCAAAUCAAGGCUCUGAUACCAACUUGUAACGACCCAAUUUUCACGUCCAAAAAUUCCAUUUUUGAUUAAGUUAUUUGAAAAAUAUUUAUAACAUAAUAUCAGCCGAUCAUAUCAUUUCAUAAAAACAUGUCUCGUGUCUGAAAACCGAAUCGUAAAAACAUAAUAAUGUCAGAGUACAAAUCCCAGAAUAACUCAUAGUGCGGAAAACAAUGUGUGUGUAUGAUGUGCCGCUACCGUGCCAGCUCCUUCCCCUUAGCUGAAGAGGUACCUGAAACCAAAACUAUAAACUGUAAGCACGAACCUUAGUGAGUUCCCCCAUCGUACCACAUACCAUACAAAUCACAUCACAUACAUACCGUCGGGCAAUUCUGGGGUGCCCGAACUACCCGGUACGGCCAUUCUGGGGUGCCGACCUACCCAUGCGGCCAUUCUGGGUUGCCGUCNNNNNNNNNNNNNNNNNNNNNNNNNNNNNNNNNNNNNNNNNNNNNNNNNNNNNNNNNNNNNNNNNNNNNNNNNNNNNNNNNNNNNNNNNNNNNNNNNNNNNNNNNNNNNNNNNNNNNNNNNNNNNNNNNNNNNNNNNNNNNNNNNNNNNNNNNNNNNNNNNNNNNNNNNNNNNNNNNNNNNNNNNNNNNNNNNNNNNNNNNNNNNNNNNNNNNNNNNNNNNNNNNNNNNNNNNNNNNNNNNNNNNNNNNNNNNNNNNNNNNNNNNNNNNNNNNNNNNNNNNNNNNNNNNNNNNNNNNNNNNNNNNNNNNNNNNNNNNNNNNNNNNNNNNNNNNNNNNNNNNNNNNNNNNNNNNNNNNNNNNNNCAUUGUGGCCGUAGACCCACCGCUACUGGAAGGUAACUCACCUCGUAGUAGCUGCUGAACUGUGCGGGAAUCCUCUGACUGCUGCCGCUGCUGCUCCGGAAAUCCUCCGGCUAUAAUUCCCACAAAACACUUAGUCAUACACUGCUAACUGUUCUUAGGGUAAAAUGACCAUUUUACCCCUGACCAAGUCAAAGUCAAAGUCAACUUCCAAUUGACCUGACUCGCUGAGUCCCUAUCCUUCCAUUUGUCCUUAUACCCGCCUCUACUCGUCGAGUUAAGCGGUUACUUGACGAGUUUUCCUUCUAAAUGAACAUCAACUGAAUCCUCAUCUGAUUCGCCGAGUUGUAUGAACAACUCGUCGAUUUCAUCAUCAACUGAUACACAGGUCCUGUCCUUGACUCGCCGAGUUGUAUGAACAACUCGUCGAGUUCAUCUUCAUCCUUAGAAGAUUGCUUUGGACACGCCGAGUCCGUUCUUGCACUCGCCGAGUCCCACGAACUUCCAGAACAAAGGAUUAGUCUAGAUCGUUGGGUCACUCCCCGGGACCCUCCCUAAAACAUUUCCUCACUCACUGGGUCCUUUUGACCCUCAACUGAUAUGGGACAGAAACCUUGGACUCGCCGAGUCCAAGAAUGGACUCGUCGAGUUAGUCACAUCCACUCACUAAAUCUUCGAUUUCUGAUGUACAACCCUUGAUCAAAAGAUAGAUCUAUGCUUCUACAAUCGAUCUAGCACGUAAAGUUACAACCUUUACGUGCUUGCAUGGGACUUUGAGCUCAAAAGGUCCUAAAACAAGAUCUUACAAUGCAUGGGGCCUUCUUUGAGUGCAAAAGCCACUCCUUUCUGCCUUGUAAUCCCUCUAAGGAACCAGAUCCGAAACAUCAACCCCAAACCAUGCUUGCAAUCAUGGUUGGUGACCAAAAUGGCUUAGAAAAAGCCCUAAAACUCCACAAAAUGGGAUCUAUCAAAAGAGCAAACAAGGUAUAGACUUUAUACCUUCUGUAGACUGCAAAUGAUGCUCAAAGUCGGAUCCCUCUAGCCUCCUCUUGAUCCUUCAAGCUUUUCCUUCCUUCUUUGGAUCAUAAAAGCACCAAAAUCACUCCAAAUGCCUUAGAUUGCUUCAAUAACGGCUAGGGUUUGCUAUGGGGGUCUUCUGGGAGCAAAUGGGACGAAGGAGGCCGAGUUAAGGUGUUGAAAUAGGGUGCAAACCCUCAGAUUAGGGUUUUUGUCUAGAUAGGGCCUACUCGCCGAGUCCGAGACCCAACUCGUCGAGUCCGCAGCUUAAACUCCGCGUCUCACCCCGCUUCUACUCGGCGAGUUGGUCCUUCAACUCGCUGAGUCCAAGGCCAAAAUGCAAAAUAUGUUAAAGAAGAGAAUAUGUACCAAGAACCAGGUGCUACAACUAUACUCAAGGGUCUAAUGCACCAAGGCCGGCCCUUUGGAUUGUUAUCUGGUUAUGAUAUGCUAUUAUGAUCUGUUAGAUCGGUAUCCUAGAGGGUAGGAUAAUAUUAUGUGGUAUGUGGUAUGAUAUGUUAGUUCGGUAUCCUAGAGGGUAGGAUAAUAUUAUAUGUUAUGUGAGUAUGAUCUGUUAGAUCAGUAUCCUAGAGGGUAGGAUAACAUUAUGUUGUACGUGGCAUGAUCCGCUAAAUCAUUUUUUAUUUAUAGACUGCUAUGUGAUUAUCUGUUAUAUGUGCACAUGUUUAUUUGGCGGUUGAUGCUUAUCUGCUUUGUGCGAAAGCCAAUAGACCUGGGCAUUCCAACUUGUUGGUUGUGGGCCGUGAGUAUUCCAUCCCCAUGAUGACUGGACUCAUAGUAUGUGGGCAUUCCAACAUGUUGGUUGUGGGCCUGGCAUAUUCCAUCCCGAGGAUGAUUGGACCCAUAGUGUGUUGGCAUUCCAACCGGAUGGUUGAGGGCAUGGGGUAUUCCAACCCGAUCGUUGACUGGACCCAUAGUAUGCUAUUAUGAGUAUAUGUAUAUUGUUGUGGGUAUGGGUAUUUUGGGGGAACUCACUAAGCUUUGUGCUUACGGUUUCAAUCUAUUGUUUCAGGUGCUUCAUAUGGCUUGACUAGGCGAAGGCAUGACCGUACACAUCUUCGUGUUUUGGACUUAUGGUUUCUGGGAUACUCUGAUAUUAGAUAAUUUUGAAAACAUUUUGUAAUAACUAAUGACUUUUGGAUGUUUGAAAGAGUUUUAAAUUGACCUGAUUUUUAUGGGUGUUACAAGGGUUUAGUAUUUAUGUUGCAUGCAUGCAUCGUCUUUUGUAAGCUUUUCAAGAAUUAUUAUCUCUUUCAUUGUAUUGUAACCCUAGCACACCUCUACAAUAGAAGUUCUUUGUCGAACUCUUCUGAGGUGUUAUAGUAUUAAUCAUUCAACAUUUGUUUGAUUCAUCGUGUGUUCUUUCUAUUAUUUACAUUCUGAUUUACUUGCAAAGAAUCUAAUCGAUCUUAAAAGAGCUUUUCAUCUCUACAGCCAAGAAUAGUAAUGUCGUUGUUAGACCCCACGACCCCAAAAAAAGGAAUGUCAUAUCCAUAAAUCCUGAGAUGCAAUAAUUUCUAGGAUUAUACGUGGUUCACUUAUAUCUCCUCGAGUAAAUUGACCACGCCAUGCAUUUGGACAUUUUUCCCAAGCCACAUGCGUAUAAUCUAGACUGCCAAGCAUACCCAAAAAUCCAUGGCUCUCUUCAUGAGUCGAAUAUAAUCUCUCAAUAUCACGUGGAGUUGGUUUACGCAAAUAUUCUUGAUGAAAAACCUCAUAUACACAUGCGCAAAACCAAUCUACACAAUCAAUUACGGUCCUCUCCUCUCGGAUAUUUAAAGUAUUCGUCAGAUGCACCAAAUGCUAUACCGUAUCCCAAAUACCUAAGCGCAACCGCACACUUUUGUAUACUACUAAAACUCAUUCUUCCUCUAGCGUCAGAUUUUUGUUUGAAAAAAUCAUAGUGGACUUCUAAAACAUCACUAAUACGUAAAAAUAUUGCCUUAUUUAGACGGAAACGACGUUUGAAUGCAUCUUCAUUGUAAAGACAAUUAUCGGUGAAGUAAUCACGUACCAAUAAGUCGUGUGCGAGCAACAUUCGAACUUUCUUCAUCGUGAAUGUGUUGCACAACAUUGAAGAAAGUCGAGAUGAAUUCUCCGUCAUAAUCUGAGUCAAAAUUUUUUAACACUUCCAAAUCUUCCAUGUGUUUUUUGGUUUAGAAUAAGAGUAAAAUUUGAUGAUAUGUAAGUGAUGGAGUGUGAGAAUUUUAUUUAUAUAUGUAUUAAGUUUUUGAAAAAAAAAAUAAAAUAAAAUAAACAUAACAAUUUGACUGUUCAACGGUCAAAAGAAUCAAAUUCAAUUUCAUUAGCAAUUUCAUUUCGUUGUCGGGAAUAUGAGACAACAUGACCAUGAUGGACCACGACCGACCGGGUUGGUGUGCACGGUCGUGGUCGUGGUCCAUGUAAACCACGAGGGUGCUCGUAUCGAGUACACCGGAUAGUCUAAAUGGAAUGGUGACCAAUCACGACUGUGUGGCAAUGCAACUAUGAUUAAUGGUGAGAAUUGAGAAUGACGGCUGAUAUAUAAUAGUGAAGCAAUUAUGAGAACUGGGAAUAACAUCUGAUGAAACAAAGAGAAAGACGGGUAGUUUCGUAAACAUUGUUUUUCUUUUUUCUUUAAUAAAUAAAAUACAAGUAUAAAUAAAUACUUUUUAAGACACCAUUAUUUGGUAAAUAAUUUUCGGGAACACUACCUUUAAGUACAAAACUCAUGAUAUCCUCCUCACAAUCGCAACAAACUUAAAAUUGGUACUUUCUAUGUCUCAAAAUUAUUAUCCACUUUAUUAUUUUAGUUUGUUUUAAAAUUAUUAUUCAAAAAUAGAUAUAUAUUUUUACCAUAUUACCCUUAAUAUUUAAUAAAGUAAACUUAAUAAUUACAAAUGUAUAUUUACUUUUGUUUUUAGAAAAAGACAAGAUGAUCAUUUUACUAAAAAAAAGACAAAACUAAUGAUUUUUUUUUUUUUUUUUUUUUUUUUUUUUUUUUNUUUUAUAAAAAAAAAAAAAAAAUAAUUUUUUUUUUUUUUUUUUUUUUUUUUUUUUUUUUUUUUUCUUUAUGGACAUUAAUUUUGCAAUCGAGGAAAUAAUAUUCAAUUUUAUUUAAAUCAAAAUAAAUGUCAAUUCAAUUCAAGUUUGAAAAUACCAAAUUGAAAACACCAUAAGAUUCAAAGGAUCCCUCAGGCCACAAUAGACAUGGAACUUCUAUUCGUAAUUUGACAUUCUUGCUUAUCAUAUCAUUCGAUCCUUAGAGCAUCUAUGAAUUCUUCAUCGCAUUCAAGAUCCAUAAUAUGUUGUGAUGAAGCAAAACAAAUUUCCACAUCCAUACUCCCGCCACCUUCCCGUCCGGGAUACAUCGUUAUCUUCCCGUCGCCCUUGUUCAUCCACCCACUUCUAGCCGCCACCGCUUUCCCCAGCCCGAACUCGCACCCGUACAUGUCAAACCUCGGUGAGCUCCCAACGUGAAUGUAGUUUUGAUCGAUCCUCUGACUUAGUUUUAUAAUGAAUGGCCUUUUAAUCCAUGACUCAACGCUUUCCUUAACAGAUGUAUCAUUGUAGUUUAUCACCGCUUUGUGCAACCGGAAAGCCGCCCACCCAAGCCCAUUCGCCGUCAAUUCCCCAACGGUUGCUGUUCCUCUCAAUACAGAAAUUGGGUUACCAAAAUAAUCAUCAGACAGAGGUGGGUUCAGCCGCCGCCGGUUAGACACCAUCAAUCUACAACUGGUUUCACCGUCGACUGGUAGUCGCCGGAUACGGGUAACGCUUCUCCACAAAAGCGCGAUCACUGCCUGUAAACUUGAGAUUUUCGUAGUAUUGCAUUCCGAGUUUGCUUUUGCUUUGAGUUUGGAGACGGAGGCUGAUGAGAAGUGGAAGAAUCUCUCCUUUAAAGGUGGAGGUUCCAAUCGUUCAAUGAAUUGAUCAUGGUGUGUAAACGGGAGAUUGAUGAUAGGGUCAGAUCCAUCGAGGAGCCAUCGUUUGAGUACCGGAGGUCGAGAGAUUGAGCCAUGAUAUUGGUCUUUGGAUUUGAAUAUUUCACUCCAAGCAGCCAUGAAAUGCCAGAAAGAGGUUCCAUCGGCGACCAUAUGGUUGAUAGAUCCGCCGAUAAAGAUUCCAUCGACAAGCUCUGUAACUUGAAUGGAUAACAAUGGCAGUGUGUGACCAUCGUGGCUAA
This 30086-nucleotide long non-coding RNA is filed under the name Lactuca sativa (garden lettuce). RNAcentral's name for it is "long non-coding RNA (LSAT_LNC006911)". Lineage: Eukaryota; Viridiplantae; Streptophyta; Magnoliopsida; Asterales; Asteraceae. The record is from RNAcentral.